Molecule: ribosomal RNA, 484 nt
Filed under: uncultured bacterium
Lineage: Bacteria
Description: partial 16S ribosomal RNA
Rfam family: Bacterial small subunit ribosomal RNA
Source: RNAcentral
AUUGAACGCUGGCGGCAGGCCUAACACAUGCAAGUCGAGCGGAUGAAGGGAGCUUGCUCCUGGAUUCAGCGGCGGACGGGUGAGUAAUGCCUAGGAAUCUGCCUGGUAGUGGGGGAUAACGUCCGGAAACGGGCGCUAAUACCGCAUACGUCCUGAGGGUGAAAGUGGGGGAUCUUCGGACCUCACGCUAUCAGAUGAGCCUAGGUCGGAUUAGCUAGUUGGUGGGGUAAAGGCCUACCAAGGCGACGAUCCGUAACUGGUCUGAGAGGAGGAUCAGUCACACUGGAACUGAGACACGGUCCAGACUCCUACGGGAGGCAGCAGUGGGGAAUAUUGGACAAAGGGCGAAAGCCUGAUCCAGCCAUGCCGCGUGUGUGAAGAGGGUCUUCGGAUUGUAAAGCACUUUAAGUUGGGAGGAAGGGCAGUAAGUUAAUACCUUGCUGUUUUGACGUUACCAACAGAAUAAGCACCGGCUAACUUCGUG